Molecule: ribosomal RNA, 434 nt
Filed under: uncultured Oscillospiraceae bacterium
Lineage: Bacteria; Bacillati; Bacillota; Clostridia; Eubacteriales; Oscillospiraceae
Description: partial 16S ribosomal RNA
Rfam family: Bacterial small subunit ribosomal RNA
Source: RNAcentral
ACGGGAGGCAGCAGUGGGGAAUAUUGGGCAAUGGGCGAAAGCCUGACCCAGCAACGCCGCGUGAAGGAUGUAGGUUUUCGGAUUGUAAACUUCUUUGACUGAGGACGACAAUGACGGUACUCAGAAAACAAGCCCCGGCUAACUACGUGCCAGCAGCCGCGGUAAUACGUAGGUGGCGAGCGUUGUCCGGAUUUACUGGGUGUAAAGGGCGUGUAGGCGGGAAAGCAAGUCAGAUGUGAAACUCCGAGGCUUAACCUCGGAACUGCAUUUGAAACUGUUUUGCUUGAGUGAUGGAGGGGUAAGCGGAAUUCCUAGUGUAGCGGUAAAAUGCGUAGAUAUUAGGAGGAACACCGGUGGCGAAGGCGGCUUACUGGACAUUAACUGACGCUGAGGCGCGAAAGCGUGGGGAGCAAACAGGAUUAGAUACCCUGGUA